AGGGUUUGAUCAUGGCUCAGGAUGAACGCUGGCGGCGUGCUUAACACAUGCAAGUCGAACGAACCUUCGGGUUAGUGGCGGACGGGUGAGUAACGCGUGAGAAUCUGCCCUCAGGAGGGGGAUAACGGUUGGAAACGACCGCUAAUACCCCAUAUGCCUACUGGUGAAAUGAGUUUCGCCUGAGGAUGAGCUCGCGUCUGAUUAGCUUGUUGGUGAGGUAAUGGCUCACCAAGGCUUCGAUCAGUAGCUGGUCUGAGAGGAUGAUCAGCCACACUGGGACUGAGACACGGCCCAGACUCCUACGGGAGGCAGCAGUGGGGAAUUUUCCGCAAUGGGCGAAAGCCUGACGGAGCAACGCCGCGUGAGGGACGAAGGCCUCUGGGCUGUAAACCUCUUUUCUCAAGGAAGAAGAUAUGACGGUACUUGAGGAAUAAGCCACGGCUAAUUCCGUGCCAGCAGCCGCGGUAAUACGGGAGUGGCAAGCGUUAUCCGGAAUUAUUGGGCGUAAAGCGUCCGCAGGCGGCUUUUCAAGUCUGCUGUUAAAGCGUGGAGCUUAACUCCAUCAUGGCAGUGGAAACUGAAAGGCUUGAGUAUGGUAGGGGCAGAGGGAAUUCCCGGUGUAGCGGUGAAAUGCGUAGAUAUCGGGAAGAACACCAGUGGCGAAGGCGCUCUGCUGGGCCAUUACUGACGCUCAUGGACGAAAGCCAGGGGAGCGAAAGGGAUUAGAUACCCCUGUAGUCCUGGCCGUAAACGAUGAACACUAGGUGUCGGGGGAAUCGACCCCUUCGGUGUCGUAGCUAACGCGUUAAGUGUUCCGCCUGGGGAGUACGCACGCAAGUGUGAAACUCAAAGGAAUUGACGGGGGCCCGCACAAGCGGUGGAGUAUGUGGUUUAAUUCGAUGCAACGCGAAGAACCUUACCAGGGUUUGACAUCCUGCGAACCUCUUAGAAAUUUGAGGGUGCCUUCGGGAAUGCAGUGACAGGUGGUGCAUGGCUGUCGUCAGCUCGUGUCGUGAGAUGUUGGGUUAAGUCCCGCAACGAGCGCAACCCACGUUUUUAGUUGCCAGCAUUUAGUUGGGCACUCUAGAAAGACCGCCGGUGAUAAACCGGAGGAAGGUGUGGAUGACGUCAAGUCAUCAUGCCCCUUACACCCUGGGCUACACACGUACUACAAUGCUACGGACAAAGGGCAGCAAACUCGCGAGAGCUAGCAAAUCCCAUAAACCGUGGCUCAGUUCAGAUCGUAGGCUGCAACUCGCCUACGUGAAGUAGGAAUCGCUAGUAAUCGCAGGUCAGCAUACUGCGGUGAAUACGUUCCCGGGCCUUGUACACACCGCCCGUCACACCAUGGAAGUUGGCCAUGCCCGAAGUCGUUACUCCAACCCUUGUGGAGGAGGACGCCGAAGGUGGGGCUAAUGACUGGGGUGAAGUCAUAACAAGGUAACCGUA
This 1449-nucleotide ribosomal RNA is filed under the name uncultured bacterium. Its description in RNAcentral is "bacterial SSU rRNA". It matches the Rfam family "Bacterial small subunit ribosomal RNA". The record is from RNAcentral.